Molecule: ribosomal RNA, 497 nt
Filed under: uncultured bacterium
Lineage: Bacteria
Description: partial 16S ribosomal RNA
Rfam family: Bacterial small subunit ribosomal RNA
Source: RNAcentral
GAUGAACGCUGGCGGCGUGCCUAAUACAUGCAAGUCGAGCGAACAGACGAGGAGCUUGCUCCUCUGACGUUAGCGGCGGACGGGUGAGUAACACGUGGAUAACCUACCUAUAAGACUGGGAUAACUUCGGGAAACCGGAGCUAAUACCGGAUAAUAUAUUGAACCGCAUGGUUCAAUAGUGAAAGACGGUUUUGCUGUCCCUUAUAGAUGGAUCCGCGCCGCAUUAGCUAGUUGGUAAGGUAACGGCUUACCAAGGCGACGAUGCGUAGCCGACCUGAGAGGGUGAUCCGCCACACUGGAACUGAGACACGGUCCAGACUCCUACGGGAGGCAGCAGUAGGGAAUCUUCCGCAAUGGGCGAAAGCCUGACGGAGCAACGCCGCGUGAGUGAUGAAGGUCUUCGGAUCGUAAAACUCUGUUAUUAGGGAAGAACAAAUGUGUAAGUAACUAUGCACGUCUUGACGGUACCUAAACAGAAAGCCACGGCUAACUACGUG